AAGGAAAGUCCAAUACUAAUUAGGUAUAUAAGCUAAAAUAAGCAAUAUAAAAAUAUAAGGAAUUUAACAGAAACUAAUAAUUAUUAAUUAAAUAUGUAAUUAAAAAAUUAUUUAAUUAAUAAUUGCGAACACUACCCCUAUAUUUAGUACUAAUUUAGAAUUAUAAUAAAAAAAAAAUCUUUUUUAACAGAAACCGGCUUAA
This 202-nucleotide non-coding RNA is filed under the name Aspergillus puulaauensis. The record is from RNAcentral. Lineage: Eukaryota; Fungi; Ascomycota; Eurotiomycetes; Eurotiales; Aspergillaceae.